GAAUUCGAGCAAUGUUCAAUUAAUAAACUCAGGAUUUCAAAACGAGCAAAGGCAACAUUGGUCGAAAUGAAACAUUUUUAUCUCCGCCUAGCCAAACCGAUGCCAUUCGAAAAAAGAUGGAAUUUGCAAGCUAUAUUCGUCUGAAUUAAUGCCUCAAGACAUAAUCAUCCUGCUGUCACAACAUUCUACUCCGACGGCGAUAGCGGAUCAACAAAUGCCUCUAUUUAAAUGCAAUGUGUUACCACUGCCGGAAAUAAUUUUUUUUUUUUUUUAUUGCGCCAGCAUGAUGCCACUCGGCAAAAGCUAGGAAUGCUCUCUGAGUAUUCAGAUUAAGGAUACAGUAUCGAUCAAAUAACCGAAGAAACAUUGUGAACCGUUGUUAAAUGAACUUUUGGCAUUCAAGACAUUAGCAAUUCAUAAAAAAAUUUU
Molecule: long non-coding RNA, 429 nt
Organism: Stegodyphus dumicola
Lineage: Eukaryota; Metazoa; Arthropoda; Arachnida; Araneae; Eresidae
Source: RefSeq, a predicted model, not a curated record